UUUAAAAAAAAAAAAAAAAAGCAAGCAAGCAAGCAAGCAAGCACCUGAAUUCUAAGAAAGAUGAGGUAUUUGAUUCCAAGGAAGAAAACUAUACACGGCAGGUUGAAGCGACAGAGGCAGUCCUGACUGUUUUUUCUCCAUCCAGCUACUUUAAUUAUGGCCCUUCAAAACCAGCUAUUCCUGUGGAUCAGCGCGUAAAGCGAUACUGCGAACAUAUUGAACCAUCCAUCGACCCUCCGUGCUGAGGCCUGUCAGUGCAGAAUGGCUGCAGGGAGUCUUAGUCUGUUCCCCCGUCCCAGGAGAGCACUAUGCAGAGUGGAGCAAAUCCCUCCAGGAUUUAACACAGGUGUGUGAAAAAUGUGGGGAACAUGACUCGUUAUUGAUUUUAAAUCAGUGUUU
Molecule: long non-coding RNA, 399 nt
Filed under: Struthio camelus australis
Lineage: Eukaryota; Metazoa; Chordata; Aves; Struthioniformes; Struthionidae
Description: lncRNA (ENSSCUG00000008421.1)
Source: RNAcentral